GGCAUAUGGAUGUUCCCAGGCUAGGGGUCGAAUCUGAGCUAUAGCUGCUGGCCUCCGCCACAGCCACAGCAACGCAGGAUCCGAGCCGUGUCUGCGACCUACGCCACAGCUCACAGCAGUGCUGGAUCGUUAAACCCCUGAGUGAGGCCAGGGAUUGAACCUGCGUCCUCAGGGAUGCUAGUCAGAUUUGCUAACCACUGAGCCAUGAUGGGAACUCCCAUUUCCUCUUUAAAAUAGCCCCUGAGGAGUUCCCACAGUGGCACAACAGGAUUUGUGGCAUCUCUGGAGCACCGGGAUGCAGGUUCGAUCCCCGGCCCAACACAGCGGGUUAGUUAAAGAUCUGGCGUUGCCGCAGCUGUGGAGUAGGUUGCAACCCCAGGAUACCAGCUGAUUCCUCCGAAGAGGCCUGAGGCAGCUUCAGGCAUCCCUACCCACCGCUGGGCCCUCACAGAGAACUGCGGGCGUGCAAAGUGGUUCUGGAUGCGGAGAAGAAACCGACAGCUGCCAGGCCGCCUCUCCUGGACCAGAAUCUACCCUGAGAGCCGGGCUGGCAAGGGCCAGGAGCGUGCGUUCCGCAGCAGACCACCUGGGCCUACGCCUGGCUCUCUCACGGUUCUAACACGGUUUGAAACUCCAGCAUCAGCUACACUGCUUGCCAGACCUAGAGCAAAAUGCAAACGAGAGGCCCCUGCAUCAGAAUGAAGAAUUUCAAGACAGCAACAGCGAAUCAAACCCGGAACGGGUCCCUCUAAGCAAGGGCCCUGUGGGACUGCCAGGGAGCAGGUGCGCCUCAGUGUCCUUAUCUGUAAAAUGGGGAUCCUAACGGCACAUGCCUCACGGGGGGGCAGAAGGAAUAUGUGAGUCAACUUUGCAUGAAGCACCUACCCCCGUACUCAGCUCAAGACAUUACUAUCCUGUCUGCACAGAGCCCACACUUCACGUCAGACCGUCCCAAACAUACUGCUCAAAUCCCAUGAAAACACAUCCUGCUCGUUCUCUGUGGUAUGGCAAUAGUCAGAGAGACAAACCCAACUUUAUAAAUCCAGUUAACAGCAACAGAAAUGCUGCUGCUGCUGUGCCUUUAAAAUCAUGGGAUAUUUUUUCAGUGAAUAAAUAAUAAUGACUGAAAACUUGGGCUAACCCAAAAUCUCAGCAGUACCAGAUUUGUGGCUAAGUUAAAAAAAUAUGAAAACAACCUAAACGUCCAUCGACAGAUGAAUGGAUUGAGACGGUGUGGUACAGGAGUGCCUGCUGUGGCGCAAUGGUAACCAAACUGACUAGUAUGCAUGAGGGUAAAGGUUUGAUCCCUGGCCUCGCUCUGUGGGUUUAGGAUCGGGCGUUGCCAUGAGUUGUGGUGUAGGUCGCAGAUGCAGCUGGCGUUUCUGAGGCUGUGGUGUAGGCUGGCAUCUACAGCUCUGAUUUGACCUCUAGCCUGGGAACCUCCAUGUGCUGCAGGUGCAGGCCUUAAAAAAAAAAAAAGAAGAAGAAGAAGCUGUGGUACGUAUAUACAGUGGAAUAUUACUAAGCCAUAAAAACAACAAGAUAAUCCCUUUUGCAGCAACGUGGAGGCAACUAGAGAUUAUCCUACUAAGUAAGUCAGAAAGAGAAAGACAAAUCCCAUACGAUAUCACUUCUAUGUGGACUCUAAACUACGCCCCCAUUGCAGAACGGAAACGGACUCCCAGACAUAGAGACCAGACUUGUGGUUGCCAAGGGGGAGGGGAAGGGAGCGGGAUGGACGGGGAGUUUGGGGUUCAUAGAUGAGAACUCUUACAUUGAGCAUGGAUGAGCAAUGAGGUCCUGCUGUACAGCACAGGGAACCGUAUCCAGUCUCCUGGGAUGGAUCAUGAGGGAAGAGAAUAUAAGAAAGGGAGGUAUAUAUGGGUAUGACUGGGUCACUUUGCUGUACAGCCAAAAUGGGCACAACAUUGGAAAUCAACUAUAAUAAAAAAAAAAGAAGAAAAUUGUAAGCCCAUCAUGGUCUAUCAUGGCCGCAGAGAAGUAUAGAUGUGUCAUCUGAGGAAUGAAGCAAAGCAGGAGCUCAACGCUGUAAAUCAACUAUCAUUUAAAAAAAUGAUUAUAAAAAAGAAACACCGGAAAUAACUGGAAAUUUAAAACAGGGCCCUACAAAAUGAGAUGACAUGACAGUGAGAAAAAAGUUUCUUUCAUGUGCAAAUAUCUUUAGUCCCACAAUAUAUUUAGCUCAGCAUAAAUCUUUGAAAGAUCAGAUCCACGUAUAAGAUGAGUAAAGGGAUGACUCUGGAUCGUGUCAAUGAGGAACCUGGGAUAAGAUGGUUUUAACUAACCCACAGCUCGUCUAAUCAUUCCAUCCAAGUUCUUCCUGGUAUAAACGGAUAAGGAGCUGCUUUCUAUUAUUUUCACGGCUGCCCUUCUGUAUUAAAGGACCAAGCUGGGAAGUUCCCAUUGUGGUGCAACAGGAGCCACGGUGUCUCGGCAGCUGCAGGUCACAGGUUGGAUCUCCAGCUGGGCACAAGUGGGUUAAGGAUCCAGUGUUGCUGCAGCUAUGGUGUAGGUCGCAGCUGUGACUUGGAUCUGAUCCCUGGCCCGGGAGCUCCGUAUGCCACAGAGUGGUGAAAAAAGAAGAAGAAGAAGAAAAAAAAGGACCAAGCUGGAAAUAAGACUCAGAAUCUCUUAAUGGCUACUGCUUAUCUUCUCAAUCAAUUCAGAAUUUAAUUCAAUAAGGCGCUGGAAGAGAAGAAAAUGAUAGGACAGUUACAGAAAUUCUGGUUCUAUAAUGAGCAUGAAGCUCCUGCUUGACUAAGUAAGGAAGGGACUUGGUGGGCCAGCCAGCAGCCUUGGUCCAAAGCAGCCGUUACAGCGCUGUCUGAAUGGAAAUAAAAUCUGACCUUAUUCUAUGCACUCAACCAAAUAUAUCUGUAAAUACAACUCAAUCUUCUCACUUUGGCCCUGGUGGUUUAUUUAAAAAGCAGCCUUGGAGUUCCCAUCAUGGUGCAGCGGAAACGAAUCCGACUAGGAACCAUGAGGUUGCAGGUUCAAUCCCUGGCCUCGCUCAGUGGGUUAAGGAUCCCGAGUUGCUGUGGCUGCGGUGUAGGCCGGCAGCUGUAGCUCUGAUUGGACCCCUAGCCCGGGCACCUCCAUAUGCCGCAGGUGCGGCCCUAAAAAGACAAAAAAAAUAAAUAAAUAAAAAGCAGGCUCUUUAUUUCUACUUUUCUUUUGAACAGACCUUUGAUUAUUUGGGUUUGUUUUAUCCAGGCAAUACAUUCCCUGCUCAACUGCUGUCUGCACCCGCUUUCCCUCUUUCUUAGAAGAAUGAAGGACCAACAGCUUGGCUUUGCUCAGUGGAGUCCAUGGAGCGUACGUCCUUCCGCUCACGUCAGGCCAACAAGCUAACUGCUGACUAGACUCUAAGUCCCUGGAGCUACUGGCUCUAAAAGCCUUUCUAUCUGCUUUUACCCCCUUGUUUAAAGGCGAUGGAUGAGUAUUUAUGUUGACUCGAAGGCUUUUCUCUCUCACCACACAGAUACCUUAACAUAAGGGUCCUUCACGGUCACUGGCUAGAGGUUUGCAAGCCUAAUGCACCCAGUGAAUGAGGUCGAGGAUUUAUGCCGAGUGGGAAAUGGACUUUUUAAUUACCCACUUGUGAGACUGGAUAAGUGCACAGGCAGAGCAAAAAACAUCACCCCCUCUGUGGACCCGUGUCCUGCCUGCGGGAAGGAGCAUGGGCUCUUGAGCCACGAAGACCAGGCUUCUUGAAGAUGCUUUCUUUGAUUAUUUCAGCAUGUAGUGUUGUAUACAGCCUCAUGGCGGGGGUGGGGGUGGGGGGCAUCCCAGGAAAAAUCCUGAACGAAUUAAGCAGAUAUUUUCCAUGAGCUGUGUUCUAACACAUCAAAUAUAGCUAGCGGAAAAUUAUUUCUGCCGUUCAUUCUUAUAGUCUGAAAAAGCUAAGCCAUAUUGAUACUGUGACCUAGCUGAUUCGAGCAUUACGAAGGACGGGUAAUGAACACAUAAACUGGGUCUUUCUUUCUUCCUUUAAUUUUCUUCUUUUUUAGGGCAGCACUUGCAGCCUAUGGACGUUCCCAGGCGAGGGGUUGAGUUGGAGCCGCAGAGGCCGGCCUAUACCACAGCCACAGCCAGGUGAGCGACACAGCAGCGCACGGUAAUGCCGGAUCCUUAACCCACUGAGCGAGGCCAGGGAUCGAACCUACAUCCCCAUGGAUACUAGUCAGGUUCUUAACCUGCUGAGCCACAACGGGAAUUCCUACACUGCUUCUUUAAAUCAACCUUUAAUUGUCAGACAUAAUCAAAGGGGAAGGACAGAGUCAAGUUCAGCAUCGGAGGACAGAUCUCAGGGUAAGACUUGUUCCCCUCAUUCUCCCGCUCACCGGACCCCAAACUGGCAGUUGAGUCUUGGGAAGGCAAACAGCUCAAAUCUCUUAUGCCCUCCGGGUACUGAAGUAUUGCAUAUACCCAGUGUCUUAAAAGAAUCUGAUCGUGAGUGAGUAAAUCUAUUGAAAUUGCACUAUUUAAAAAUUAAAAAAUAUAUCACUGAUUUACAAUGUUGUGCCUAAACUGCACUAUUUUUAUCCCAAUAUCAACAUGGUCUCUAUUCGAUGGCUUUGGUCAACAGGCUUUCCAGCUCUAUGUGGUGUUUGUUGUUUACUGUAUUAGACCCAGGAAUUUGGGGCUUUAUAAUUUGUGCAAAAAAUUUAACUUUAUAAAUGAGUUAAUGCUGUGAAACCAUGACAUUCUAUGAACAGGAGGCUUUUUAAAAUGACAUUCUCCUGACAACCAAACUAUGCAAAUUGAAGACAGAGGCCUGAUUAUAAUAUGAAGUGAAAAGCUAAGUGGCUAAAUAUUCUAUUCCAUCAUCUACAUUUCCGAUAUGUCUGUUUCUAUAUCCGUGGAUAAAGCAACAACAAAGGCCAAGUAAAGAACGUUACACAACAAUUUAACUUCUGUCUCCAAGUGGUGGAACUCCGGGAAGUUUUCAUUUUCUUUUUUGCUUCUCUAUAUAAUUAGAGGAAUAAUAUUAAAAAAAAAUGUCCAGGAAUGCCUGCUGUGGCACAGUGGUUAACGAAUCCGACUAGGAACCAUGGGGUUGCGGGUUCGAUCCCUGGCCUUGCUCAGGAGGUUAAGGAUCUGGCGUUGCCGUGAGCUGUGGUGUAGGUCGCAGACCCGGCUCAGAUCCCGAGUUGCUGUGGCUCUGGCUCAAGAUGAGCAGAUGACCUUCUUACUCAGGACUCAAGAUACCAUCGGUUUCGGGUUCCAUGCUAAGCCUCAAAAACAGUGGAAAAAAAUGUCAUAGCACGCACCCCCUUGAAAACAGGUUGACUCCAGCCCGGCUGCAGAAUUUCGGCAUCAUUCAUUAAGAGGCAGGCACUCCAUUCUCAGGCAGAUGCCAGGGAGGCUUGUGCUAAACUUUCCCACCAUGCCAACAGCUCAUGUCCACGGAGUCAUUACGGCCCCACCAUUACUACUGGUGUUAUGGUUUGGGUCACUUGUACCAAUGGUCCUUCGCUGGCUAAAGUUAAUGCUUUUCUAAGUGCUCUGAGUUAGGGGCAAUCCUAGUCCUGAGCUUAAGGAAUUCCAUCUAAAUGCAAAUCAAGACAAGCCCAUCUGGAAUGGACGAUUAGGUAGAAUCAUUUUUCCACCCUUGAAUGUUCAGCCCCUAAAAACGCAUUUGCCUGUAACUGUGCCGGUCAAGUGCCCCUUAACAGAAUUAGACUGUGUUUCCUU
Molecule: long non-coding RNA, 5718 nt
Filed under: Sus scrofa (pig)
Lineage: Eukaryota; Metazoa; Chordata; Mammalia; Artiodactyla; Suidae
Description: lncRNA (ENSSSCG00045000006.1)
Source: RNAcentral